This 288-nucleotide long non-coding RNA is filed under the name Prunus persica (peach). Its description in RNAcentral is "long non-coding RNA (PPER_LNC008300)". Lineage: Eukaryota; Viridiplantae; Streptophyta; Magnoliopsida; Rosales; Rosaceae. The record is from RNAcentral.
CGGAAACACGUGUGGAGAGGCUAGUAUUUAUAUAUAUAAAGCAAAAGGCAGAGAAUGAUGAAACAUUCAAAAUACUAGAAAAUGUCAUUGGUUAAUGCAAACAUUAAGAAUUCAAAUUAUUAAUUAAAUGAGGAUAAUAUGGUAAAUUCACACUUUUUCAUAUUUAAAAAAAUUAAAAGAAAAAGAAAAAGCAGAUAAUGGAUCCUAUUUUUAUGGAACACAACUACCCAUUAUCUUUUUUAAUUCUAAAAUAAAUUUAUUUAUUUUUAAAAAAAGCCCCUUGCAAGC